AUUGAACGCUGGCGGCAUGCCUUACACAUGCAAGUCGAACGGCAGCGGACCUUCGGGUGCCGGCGAGUGGCGAACGGGUGAGUAAUAUAUCGGAACGUACCUUUCAGUGGGGGAUAACGUAGCGAAAGUUACGCUAAUACCGCAUAUUCUGUGAGCAGGAAAGCAGGGGAUCGCAAGACCUUGCGCUGAUUGAGCGGCCGAUAUCAGAUUAGCUAGUUGGUGAGGUAAAGGCUCACCAAGGCGACGAUCUGUAGCGGGUCUGAGAGGAUGAUCCGCCACACUGGAACUGAGACACGGUCCAGACUCCUACGGGAGGCAGCAGUGGGGAAUUUUGGACAAUGGGCGCAAGCCUGAUCCAGCCAUGCCGCGUGAGUGAAGAAAGGCC
Molecule: ribosomal RNA, 385 nt
Filed under: uncultured bacterium
Lineage: Bacteria
Description: bacterial SSU rRNA
Rfam family: Bacterial small subunit ribosomal RNA
Source: RNAcentral